Molecule: ribosomal RNA, 68 nt
Filed under: Colletotrichum menispermi
Lineage: Eukaryota; Fungi; Ascomycota; Sordariomycetes; Glomerellales; Glomerellaceae
Description: partial 28S ribosomal RNA
Source: RNAcentral
GUUGACCUCGGAUCAGGUAGGAAUACCCGCUGAACUUAAGCAUAUCAAUAAGCGGAGGAAUUUUCAUU